UGCAAGUGAGACAACAUUAGUUUCAUAUAAUAAUCCAUACCUGCAGCCUAAUCAGAUUAUCUGAAGAUGCUUACUGCGAUCAAUGUGUUGUUGUUGUAUUUCCUUUUAUGUCUACAUCAAGUUGUUGUUGCUGCCUGUAAGCUGUUGUAGCACCAUUAAGGCAACACUGUCCCAGUGUGUGACCCCCACCCUCCCAGGCCCUCCUACACCGACACUUUCCAACCUGGUAACAUGUUCCUCUAGAGUGUAUCUUUGGUUGACUCUGCUUCCUGUUGAUGGAUCAAUAAGACGCUCUUACGUAAAGGUAUGGACUCACCAAGAUGCAUUAUAAGUGUACAGGAAGCCAUCAUCUUCUUUGAUUAAAUGUUGGUAUACAUCACAUACACAAAGUGCUAUGUUCAUGCCAGUAUGUGAGCCUCACAUACAGUACAUGCAGUACAGAACAGGCUCAUUUACUGCUCGAAGGCCGUAAUACACACUCCUGUGGGGUGGGGCACCCACAGUAGUGCUAGUUUCCACCGGUGUUUUUAGUAAAGGUGUGAUCAAGAAAGCAAUUAGUCAAACCAAGCUAAACGGGACAUCAAAAUUGAGGAAGUUUCAGUUACAUAAACUGCCAGUGAAGUCUAAAUUAAGGUUAAGCUAUACUUUAGAGACUACUUAAUGGCCACACUGGGAAAUACAGGACAGGAGAGAGGUGGCAUGGCAGCCAAGAGAAAGCACCACAAUGGCUCUGUACCCAUUACUGGACGUUAGCCAGCGGCCAAAACAAGGCAUCCUCACAGUUUAGCCAAGCUAACUUUGUCUUCAGAGGUGAGAAACAACCUAAACAUCUGGUCCCACAAACACAAACACUCACACAUCUCCAGAAUUGGAAAAACCUGAAAUUAUACACUGAAGAAAUUUUGCUGCUUCAUGGUGGUGUAUAACAUUUAACAGUUUUACACAUUUUAGACUGAACAGUGGUCUUAGUGUCUACUUAAUGUGGCCCGACAACUAGCCAUUUUUACACGCAACAUUUAUGACAAGGCAAAACAGACAGGAUAGAACUCAAGAUCAGCACGGCAGCUGGGAAAGAAUAGACCGAGAAUAGUCACUUACCUUGUGUUACAUUUUAAUCGCGCAACUAAUCGCAAUUUAUUAUUUUCCUAGAGCGCUUGUCUCCUUCCAGGAAAAGCUGUAAAAAAAAGAGAGAUAUUUAUCUACAUAUAAACCUACUCCAAGUAAACAGGCACAUAACUGUCUGAAUCUUCAUCUGCAGCUGUGGAAGACAUUCAGGAACACACUGGUUUGAAGACCAACAUCACUAGGCCUGUAAAUCUGUUGUACGAUUAUAUGCCACGUGUUCAGCCAUAUCUGAAUGAUUAAAUUAGAUCAAGGUACAAUGUUCAUUUGUAAUUAUUAAUAAUAAGAUUUCUUUACUAUGACUCUAAAAAUUUAGGAGGCUGAAAGGAUAGCCACCCAGAGAGGAAGACAAAAAAAA
Molecule: long non-coding RNA, 1480 nt
Organism: Cynoglossus semilaevis (tongue sole)
Lineage: Eukaryota; Metazoa; Chordata; Actinopteri; Pleuronectiformes; Cynoglossidae
Exons: 2
Source: RefSeq, a predicted model, not a curated record